GAUGAACGAGGGAGGAGGGAGGAACACAUGCAAGUCGAACGGAAAGGCCUCUGCUUGCAGGGGUACUCGAGUGGCGAACGGGUGAGUAACACGUGGGUGAUCUGCCCUGCACUUCGGGAUAAGCCUGGGAAACUGGGUCUAAUACCGGAUAGGACAAUGGUUUGGAUGCUGUUGUGGAAAGUUUUUCGGUGUGGGAUGAGCUCGCGGCCUAUCAGCUUGUUGGUGGGGUAAUGGCCUACCAAGGCGUCGAUGGGUAGCCGGCCUGAGAGGGUGUACGGCCACAUUGGGACUGAGAUACGGCCCAGACUCCUACGGGAGGCAGCAGUGGGGAAUAUUGCACAAUGGGCGCAAGCCUGAUGCAGCGACGCCGCGUGGGGGAUGACGGCCUUCGGGUUGUAAACUCCUUUCGCUAGGGACGAAGCGUUUUUGUGACGGUACCUGGAGAAGAAGCACCGGCUUCCUACGUU
RNAcentral lists this ribosomal RNA (467 nucleotides) under uncultured bacterium. RNAcentral's name for it is "partial 16S ribosomal RNA". It matches the Rfam family "Bacterial small subunit ribosomal RNA", at positions 28 to 507 of the family's 1533-position model. The record is from RNAcentral.